Molecule: ribosomal RNA, 259 nt
Filed under: uncultured prokaryote
Description: partial 16S ribosomal RNA
Rfam family: Bacterial small subunit ribosomal RNA
Source: RNAcentral
UACAUAAGGAGCAAGCGUUGUCCGGAAUCAUUGGGCGUAAAGAGCUCGUAGGCGGUAUCGAAAGUCAGCUGUGAAAUCACCAGGCUCAACCUGGUAGGGUCAGCUGAAACUUCGGUACUUGAGGGUAGAAGAGGAAAGCGGAAUUCCCGGUGUAGCGGUGAAAUGCGUAGAUAUCACGAGGAACUCCGAUUGCGCAGGCAGCUUACUAGGCCAUAACUGACGCUCAGGCACGAAGGCGUGGGGAUCAAACAGGAUUAGA